UAGGGAAUCUUCGGCAAUGGACGAAAGUCUGACCGAGCAACGCCGCGUGAGUGAAGAAGGUUUUCGGAUCGUAAAACUCUGUUGUUAGAGAAGAACAAGUGAUAGAGUAACUGUUAUCACCUUGACGGUAUCUAACCAGAAAGCCACGGCUAACUACGUG
RNAcentral lists this ribosomal RNA (160 nucleotides) under uncultured bacterium. Its description in RNAcentral is "partial 16S ribosomal RNA". It matches the Rfam family "Bacterial small subunit ribosomal RNA", at positions 355 to 507 of the family's 1533-position model. The record is from RNAcentral.